UACGAAGGGUGCAAGCGUUACUCGGAAUUACUGGGCGUAAAGCGUGCGUAGGUGGUUUGUUAAGUCCGUUGUGAAAGCCCUGGGCUCAACCUGGGAAUGGCAGUGGAUACUGGCAAGCUAGAGUGCGGUAGAGGGUAGUGGAAUUCCCGGUGUAGCAGUGAAAUGCGUAGAGAUCGGGAGGAACACCAGUGGCGAAGGCGGCUACCUGGACCAGCACUGACACUGAGGCACGAAAGCGUGGGGAGCAAACAGG
Molecule: ribosomal RNA, 253 nt
Filed under: uncultured bacterium
Lineage: Bacteria
Description: partial 16S ribosomal RNA
Rfam family: Bacterial small subunit ribosomal RNA
Source: RNAcentral